GAAGAAGAAGAAGAAGAGAUUGAAAGGGUAUUUCAUAUUUGAAGCUUUUGAACUAACCCUUGGUAGCUUCCUUGUGUUGUUGGGGUUUACAGCAGCUGAAAAGAGAGAGAAAAAAAUCAAAUAUCAUGCUCUUCACUAACCUCCUAUUUUUAGGAAUCACGCUUGCAGGUGUGGUUUUAGAGCAUUGGGUGUGGGCUCUGACCAGUCCUUCAGGUGGGCUCUUCUUCUCCUUCAUCUCUCUGUCUCUGUUUUCCUUGUUUCUUGCUUCCUCACCGGCCCUG
This 281-nucleotide unclassified non-coding RNA is filed under the name Hevea brasiliensis (rubber tree). Lineage: Eukaryota; Viridiplantae; Streptophyta; Magnoliopsida; Malpighiales; Euphorbiaceae. The record is from RNAcentral.